AACGAACGCUGGCGGCAUGCCUAACACAUGCAAGUCGAACGAACCUUUCGGGGUUAGUGGCGGACGGGUGAGUAACACGUGGGAACGUGCCUUUAGGUUCGGAAUAACUCAGGGAAACUUGUGCUAAUACCGGAUGUGCCCUUCGGGGGAAAGAUUAAUCGCCUUUAGAGCGGCCCGCGUCUGAUUAGCUAGUUGGUUGGGGUAAUGGCUCACCAAGGCGACGAUCAGUAGCUGGUCUGAGAGGAUGAUCAGCCACAUUGGGACUGAGACACGGCCCAAACUCCUACGGGAGGCAGCAGUGGGGAAUCUUGCGCAAUGGGCGAAAGCCUGACGCAGCCAUGCCGCGUGAAUGAUGAAGGUCUUAGGAUUGUAAAAUUCUUUCACCGGGGACGAUAAUGACGGUACCCGGAGAAGAAGCCCCGGCUAACUCCGUG
This 434-nucleotide ribosomal RNA is filed under the name uncultured bacterium. RNAcentral's name for it is "partial 16S ribosomal RNA". It matches the Rfam family "Bacterial small subunit ribosomal RNA", at positions 29 to 507 of the family's 1533-position model. The record is from RNAcentral.